This 492-nucleotide ribosomal RNA is filed under the name uncultured bacterium. Its description in RNAcentral is "partial 16S ribosomal RNA". It matches the Rfam family "Bacterial small subunit ribosomal RNA", at positions 29 to 507 of the family's 1533-position model. The record is from RNAcentral.
AGUGAACGCUGGCGGUAGGCCUAACACAUGCAAGUCGAACGGCAGCACAGUAAGAGCUUGCUCUUACGGGUGGCGAGUGGCGGACGGGUGAGGAAUACAUCGGAAUCUACUUUUUCGUGGGGGAUAACGUAGGGAAACUUACGCUAAUACCGCAUACGACCUACGGGUGAAAGCAGGGGAUCUUCGGACCUUGCGCGAUUGAAUGAGCCGAUGUCGGAUUAGCUAGUUGGCGGGGUAAAGGCCCACCAAGGCGACGAUCCGUAGCUGGUCUGAGAGGAUGAUCAGCCACACUGGAACUGAGACACGGCCCAGACUCCUACGGGAGGCAGCAGUGGGGAAUAUUGGACAAUGGGCGCAAGCCUGAUCCAGCCAUACCGCGUGGGUGAAGAAGGCCUUCGGGUUGUAAAGCCCUUUUGUUGGGAAAGAAAAGCAGCAGGUUAAUACCCCGCUGUUCUGACGGUACCCAAAGAAUAAGCACCGGCUAACUUUGUG